AUUGAACGCUGGCGGCAUGCCUUACACAUGCAAGUCGAACGGCAGCACGGGAGCAAUCCUGGUGGCAAGUGGCGAACGGGUGAGUAAUACAUCGGAACGUGCCCAAUCGUGGGGGAUAACGCAGCGAAAGCUGUGCCAAUACCGCAUAAGAUCUACGGAUGAAAGCAGGGGAUCGCAAGACCUUGCGCGAAUGGAGCGGC
Molecule: ribosomal RNA, 200 nt
Filed under: uncultured bacterium
Lineage: Bacteria
Description: partial 16S ribosomal RNA
Rfam family: Bacterial small subunit ribosomal RNA
Source: RNAcentral